RNAcentral lists this ribosomal RNA (468 nucleotides) under uncultured bacterium. RNAcentral's name for it is "partial 16S ribosomal RNA". It matches the Rfam family "Bacterial small subunit ribosomal RNA", at positions 28 to 507 of the family's 1533-position model. The record is from RNAcentral.
GACGAACGCUGGCGGCGUGCUUAACACAUGCAAGUCGAACGGAAAGGCCCUGCUUUUGUGGGGUGCUCGAGUGGCGAACGGGUGAGUAACACGUGAGUAACCUGCCCUUGACUUUGGGAUAACUUCAGGAAACUGGGGCUAAUACCGGAUAGGAGCUCCUGCUGCAUGGUGGGGGUUGGAAAGUUUCGGCGGUUGGGGAUGGACUCGCGGCUUAUCAGCUUGUUGGUGGGGUAGUGGCUUACCAAGGCUUUGACGGGUAGCCGGCCUGAGAGGGUGACCGGCCACAUUGGGACUGAGAUACGGCCCAGACUCCUACGGAAGGCAGCAGUGGGGAAUAUUGCACAAUGGGCGGAAGCCUGAUGCAGCAACGCCGCGUGCGGGAUGACGGCCUUCGGGUUGUAAACCGCUUUCGCCUGUGACGAAGCGUGAGUGACGGUAAUGGGUAAAGAAGCACCGGCUAACUACGUG